AUUGAACGCUGGCGGCAGGCCCAACACAUGCAAGUCGAGCGGAUGAAGGGGGCUUGCUCCUGGAUUCAGCGGCGGACGGGUGAGUAAUGCCUAGGAAUCUGCCUGGUAGUGGGGGAUAACGUCCGGAAACGGGCGCUAAUACCGCAUACGUCCUGAGGGAGAAAGUGGGGGAUCUUCGGACCUCACGCUAUCAGAUGAGCCUAGGUCGGAUUAGCUAGUUGGUGGGGUAAAGGCCUACCAAGGCGACGAUCCGUAACUGGUCUGAGAGGAUGAUCAGUCACACUGGAACUGAGACACGGUCCAGACUCCUACGGGAGGCAGCAGUGGGGAAUAUUGGACAAUGGGCGAAAGCCUGAUCCAGCCAUGCCGCGUGUGUGAAGAAGGUCUUCGGAUUGUAAAGCACUUUAAGUUGGGAGGAAGGGCAGUAAGUUAAUACCUUGCUGUUUUGACGUUACCAACAGAAUAAGCACCGGCUAACUUCGUG
RNAcentral lists this ribosomal RNA (484 nucleotides) under uncultured bacterium. Its description in RNAcentral is "partial 16S ribosomal RNA". It matches the Rfam family "Bacterial small subunit ribosomal RNA", at positions 30 to 507 of the family's 1533-position model. The record is from RNAcentral.